This 73-nucleotide transfer RNA is filed under the name Priapulus caudatus. RNAcentral describes it as "tRNA-Tyr". It matches the Rfam family "tRNA". Rfam says of the family: Transfer RNA (tRNA) molecules are approximately 80 nucleotides in length. Their secondary structure includes four short double-helical elements and three loops (D, anti-codon, and T loops). Further hydrogen bonds mediate the characteristic L-shaped molecular structure. tRNAs have two regions of fundamental functional importance: the anti-codon, which is responsible for specific mRNA codon recognition, and the 3' end, to which the tRNAs corresponding amino acid is attached (by aminoacyl-tRNA synthetases). tRNAs cope with the degeneracy of the genetic code in two manners: having more than one tRNA (with a specific anti-codon) for a particular amino acid; and 'wobble' base-pairing, i.e. permitting non-standard base-pairing at the 3rd anti-codon position. The record is from RNAcentral. Lineage: Eukaryota; Metazoa; Priapulida; Priapulimorpha; Priapulimorphida; Priapulidae.
CCUUCGAUAGCUCAGUUGGUAGAGCGGAGGACUGUAUAUCCUUAGGUCGCUGUUUCAAAUCCGGCUCGAAGGA